RNAcentral lists this transfer RNA (62 nucleotides) under Sinocentrus brevicornis. Its description in RNAcentral is "tRNA-Cys". Lineage: Eukaryota; Metazoa; Arthropoda; Insecta; Hemiptera; Membracidae. The record is from RNAcentral.
GUUUUUAUAGUUUAAUUAAAAAUUUUAAAUUGCAAAUUUAAUGAUAUUCAUGAUUAAAAACU